CCUACGGGAGGCAGCAGUGGGGAAUAUUGGACAAUGGGCGCAAGCCUGAUCCAGCAAUGCCGCGUGUGUGAAGAAGGCCUUCGGGUUGUAAAGCACUUUAGGCAGGGAAGAAAAAAUCGGCGAUAACAUCGCCGAUCUUGACGGUACCUGAGGAAUAAGCACCGGCUAACUCUGUGCCAGCAGCCGCGGUAAUACAGAGGGUGCAAGCGUUAAUCGGAUUUACUGGGCGUAAAGCGUGUGUAGGUGGUUAGAAAAGUCGAUUGUGAAAUCCCUGGGCUCAACCCGGGAACUGCUUUCGAGACUGUUUGACUAGAAUUCGGUAGAGGGAGGCGGAACUCCAGGUGUAGCGGUGAAAUGCGUAGAUAUCUGGAAGAACACCAAUGGCGAAGGCAACCUCCUGGGCCUGAAUUGACACUGAGACACGAAAGCGUGGGGAUCAAACAGGAUUAGAUACCCUGGUAGUCCACGCCGUAAACGAUGAGAACUUGACGUCGGUUUGCUCUGCGAUCGUGUGUGCUACGCGAUAAGUUACUUCCGUCCGUCGGGUAGGGUACGGGCCGGCCGACGGUUAGUAACGUUAAACGUUAGUAGUUAGUACGGCGUGAGACGUGCCGACGGACGACGACGAGGGAGGAGG
Molecule: ribosomal RNA, 637 nt
Filed under: uncultured bacterium
Lineage: Bacteria
Description: bacterial SSU rRNA
Rfam family: Bacterial small subunit ribosomal RNA (bases 1-539)
Source: RNAcentral